UCUCUCCCUCUCUAACCUCUCGUGUAUGGCAGUUGAGGGGUAUGUUGUCUGGUUGGAGACCUAGCACUCAGGUAUGGCGUCCGGAUGGAUCGACACGCCGUGCGUGCGCGGUUUCGGACCAGGCUUCAUUCCCCCCAACUCAACCGUGUUCUUCCAUCAAUCUCUCCAUUGGAGACGACAGCCGUGCUUGCAAUCUCUGCAGUUGGCAGCCCUUCGCCCCCGCGAUCGAGCAGCCACCGUGUUUUCUCUCAGUCAUCCAUCUUCCUCACCUUGCAAGUUGCAAUCAUCACCCAACUCGGCGGAUCGUCCACUCGACGGACAACUCUUUGGUUCACAAUUGCCUUCAUUCUUGAGUUGUUCUGUUUGUUGGAAAUUUGACGAAGUUUCAGAGAUUCUAAGCAGUAGUACAUCUUUCUCUUAGCACAUCAGUGUUUUAAAUCUUCAAGUUGAAGCCUUCUCUUUUAAUACUAGUGUCUUAGACGGAGAGAGAGAGAGAGAGAGAGAGAGAGAGAGAGAGAGAGAGAGAGAGAGAGAGAGAGAGAGAGAGAGAGAGAGAGAGAGAGAUUAGGGCAUAAUAAGAAACGUAAAGCCUUCUUGAGCACAUACAUAAAUGCGUAAUCAUAUCAGCUUGUAACAGUGACACACUUUUUUUUGACACACUAGUGUAAUGUACUACUACGUACAGUAGCAAAGGUACAAGGACAACACAUGCAGCAUAUAUGCUAUUAGCAGUUAAUCAGUGGGCGUGUGUAAUGAUGGUCACAACAAAAGCUAGCUAGCUAGCCUGCAGGUUCCAUCGGUUAUUCGUGUCGUCCUCGUUACGAAUCUUUCCGAUCAUGGAAAGAUCGCUUCCUAGAUUUCCCAGUACGUACGUAUAAACACCCCUGUGUGGCAACUAGCAACCGAAGCAUCUCUGCAAAGCUAUAUAUAUUGCCGACACCGUUAGGUGUGGAACCUAGCUACUAUUCAAAGCUUCCUUGGUACAUAUUCCGGUCUCACUCACUAUCAAAACUAAACUAAGAACGGUUAAUUAGCUCCGCUUUAUUAUUAGGAAACAUUAACCCUACUUUAUUUUACUACUAAUAGAAAUUGUUGCGCACCCAAAGUCUUCGAGCUGGUGAGAUAGACAACAUCAGAAUGAUUGACAAGCCACAGAGGGAAACAAAGAACACGGAUGCACCUAACCACUUGACCCAUCAUUUGCAUUUGCUCUCGAAGUUCCAAUCUGCAAUCGAGCGGUCUGAUCAACUGGAAGGCUGUUGCCUCGGAGUGUUGCUAGGCAAAAAGAUUAGCGCCCGGUCGGUGAAUGCUCUGGUCACGCAUCAAGAAAGCGACCCAACGAAAAUAGUGGUUCGUGAUGGUAAUAGGGGCAAGGAAAAGGGCGGUAGCAUGAUCCAUUUUUUCCGCUUCACUUUUGACUAAAGACUUUUAGGUUGGAACCGUUGUGAUCUUUACAAGGAUGAAGGAUACGCAUACGUGCACUGCAGCUCACCAAGGGUACAAUACAUCUGGAAGGUACCAAACCAUCAUUUCGUCAUGCCAUGGAAGCAUCGGGUUCUCUGUGACAUUUGUAAGCGUUAAGUUUGAGCAAGUGCCUUUUCCUCCCCAUUAUGAUCCACCGCACGUGGAUGUUUUGCAAGCAUUGCUGAGUUGACACGAGCUCACGCAUCUUCACGUAC
This is a long non-coding RNA of Lolium perenne, 1679 nucleotides long. RefSeq lists it as uncharacterized. The record is from RefSeq and is a predicted model, not a curated record. Lineage: Eukaryota; Viridiplantae; Streptophyta; Magnoliopsida; Poales; Poaceae.